This 404-nucleotide ribosomal RNA is filed under the name uncultured bacterium. RNAcentral's name for it is "bacterial SSU rRNA". It matches the Rfam family "Bacterial small subunit ribosomal RNA", at positions 355 to 776 of the family's 1533-position model. The record is from RNAcentral.
UGGGGAAUAUUGGGCAAUGGGCGCAAGCCUGACCCAGCAACGCCGCGUGAAGGAAGAAGGUCUUCGGAUUGUAAACUUUUGUCUUAUGGGACGAUAAUGACGGUACCAUAGGAGGAAGUCACGACUAACUACGUGCCAGCAGUCGCGGUAAUACGUAGGUGGCAAGCGUUAUCCGGAAUUAUUGGGUGUAAAGGGUGCGUAGGCGGGAUGUAAAGUCAGAUGUGAAAUGCCGCAGCUUAACUGCGGAGCUGCAUUUGAAACUUAUGUUCUUGAGUGAAGUAGAGGCAAGCGGAAUUCCUAGUGUAGCGGUGGAAUGCGUAGAUAUUAGGAGGAACACCGGUGGCGAAGGCGGCUUGCUGGGCUUUUACUGACGCUGAGGCACGAAAGUGUGGGGAGCAAACAGG